CAACGCGAAGAAACUUACCUACUCUUGACAUGUACGGAAUCCUGCUGAGAGGUGGGAGUGCCCGAAAGGGAGCCGUAACACAGGUGCUGCAUGGCUGUCGUCAGCUCGUGUCGUGAGAUGUUGGGUUAAGUCCCGCAACGAGCGCAACCCUUGUCCCUAGUUGCUACGCAAGAGCACUCCAGGGAGACUGCCGGUGACAAACCGGAGGAAGGUGGGGAUGACGUCAAGUCCUCAUGGCCCUUAUGGGUAGGGCUUCACACGUCAUACAAUGGUCGGAACAGAGGGUUGCCAAGCCGCGAGGUGGAGCCAAUCCCAGAAAACCGAUCGUAGUCCGGAUCGCAGUCUGCAACUCGACUGCGUGAAGCUGGAAUCGCUAGUAAUCGCGGAUCAGCAUGCCGCGGGAAUA
RNAcentral lists this ribosomal RNA (406 nucleotides) under Paraburkholderia tropica. RNAcentral's name for it is "bacterial SSU rRNA". It matches the Rfam family "Bacterial small subunit ribosomal RNA", at positions 957 to 1368 of the family's 1533-position model. Lineage: Bacteria; Pseudomonadati; Pseudomonadota; Betaproteobacteria; Burkholderiales; Burkholderiaceae. The record is from RNAcentral.